CAUUUUGGACAAUGGGGGCAACCCUGAUCCAGCCAUCCCUCUUGCGCGAUGAAGGCCAUCGGGUUGAUAAGCACUUUUGGCUGGGAAGAAACGGCGCCAGCUAAUCCCUGGCGCUCAUGCAGGUACCUGCAGAAUAAGUACGGGCUAACUACGUGCCACCAGCCGCGGUAAUACGUAGGGUGCAAGCGUUAAUCGGAAUUACUUGGCGUAAAGCGUGCUCAGGCGGUUCUGAAAGAAAGAUGUGAAAUCCCAGAGCUUAACUUGGGAACUGCAUUUUUAGCUACCGGGAUAGAGUGUGUCAGAGGGAGGUGGAAUUCCGCGUGUAGCAGAGAAAUGCGUAGAUAUGCGGAGGAACACCGAUGGCGAAGGCAACCUCCUGGGAUAACACUGACGCUCAUGCACGAAAGCGUGGGGAGCAAACA
This 422-nucleotide ribosomal RNA is filed under the name uncultured bacterium. RNAcentral describes it as "partial 16S ribosomal RNA". It matches the Rfam family "Bacterial small subunit ribosomal RNA", at positions 359 to 774 of the family's 1533-position model. The record is from RNAcentral.